ACCAACAGGGAUUGCCCUAGUAACGGCGAGUGAAGCGGCAACAGCUCAAAUUUGAAAUCUGUCCCCCUUGGGGGUCCGAGUUGUAAUUUGUAGAGGGUGCUUUGGCGUUGGCCCUGGCCUAAGUUCCUUGGAACAGGACGUCACAGAGGGUGAGAACCCCGUACGUGGCCGCCGGUCUUCGCCGUGUAAAGCCCCUUCGACGAGUCGAGUUGUUUGGGAAUGCAGCUCUAAAUGGGAGGUAAAUUUCUUCUAAAGCUAAAUAUUGGCCAGAGACCGAUAGCGCACAAGUAGAGUGAUCGAAAGAUGAAAAGCACUUUGGAAAGAGAGUCAAAAAGCACGUGAAAUUGUUGAAAGGGAAGCGCUUGCAGCCAGACUUGCCUGUAGUUGCUCAUCCGGGCUUUUUGCCCGGUGCACUCUUCUGCGGGCAGGCCAGCAUCAGUCCAGGCGGUCGGAUAAAGGCCUUGGGAAUGUGGCUCCCUUCGGGGAGUGUUAUAGCCCAGGGUGUAAUGCGGCCAGCUUGGACUGAGGUCCGCGCAUCUGCUAGGAUGCUGGCGUAAUGGCUGUAAGCGGCCCGUCUUGAAACACGGACCAAGGAGUCUAACAUCUAUGCGAGUGUUUGGGUGUCAAGCCCGAGCGCGCAAUGAAAGUGAACGGAGGUGGGAACCCCUCGGGGCGCACCAUCGACCGAUCCUGAUGUCUUCGGAUGGAUUUGAGUAAGAGCAUAGCUGUUGGGACCCGAAAGAUGGUGAACUAUGCCUGAAUAGGGUGAAGCCAGAGGAAACUCUGGUGGAGGCUCGCAGCGGUUCUGACGUGCAAAUCGAUCGUCAAAUUUGGGCAUAGGGGCGAAAGACUAAUCGAACU
RNAcentral lists this ribosomal RNA (861 nucleotides) under Trematosphaeria wegeliniana. RNAcentral's name for it is "eukaryotic LSU rRNA". It matches the Rfam family "Eukaryotic large subunit ribosomal RNA", at positions 64 to 941 of the family's 3401-position model. The record is from RNAcentral. Lineage: Eukaryota; Fungi; Ascomycota; Dothideomycetes; Pleosporales; Trematosphaeriaceae.